Molecule: ribosomal RNA, 619 nt
Filed under: uncultured bacterium
Lineage: Bacteria
Description: bacterial SSU rRNA
Rfam family: Bacterial small subunit ribosomal RNA
Source: RNAcentral
CGCACGGGUGAGUAAUGCAUAGAUAAUGUGCCCCUUAGUUCGGGAUAGCCACUGGAAACGGUGAUUAAUACCGGAUACUCCUUCUUGUUAUAAGACAAGUCGGGAAAGUUUUUCGCUAAGGGAUCAGUCUAUGUUCCAUCAGCUUGUUGGUGAGGUAAUGGCUCACCAAGGCUAUGACGGAUAUCUGGUUUGAGAGGAUGAUCAGACACACUGGAACUGAGACACGGUCCAGACUCCUACGGGAGGCAGCAGUGAGGAAUAUUGCACAAUGGAGGAAACUCUGAUGCAGCAACGCCGCGUGGAGGAUGACGCAUUUCGGUGUGUAAACUCCUUUUAUUAGGGAAGAUAAUGACGGUACCUAAUGAAUAAGCACCGGCUAACUCCGUGCCAGCAGCCGCGGUAAUACGGAGGGUGCAAGCGUUACUCGGAAUCACUGGGCGUAAAGGGUGCGUAGGCUGGCUUUUAAGUCAGAUGUGAAAUCCAAUGGCUCAACCAUUGAACUGCAUUUGAAACUGAAAGCCUAGAGUUCAGAAGGGGCAGAUGGAAUUAGUGGUGUAGGGGUAAAAUCCGUAGAUAUCACUAGGAAUAUCAAAAGCGAAGGCGAUCUGCUGGGAUGAUA